GUUUGAUCCUGGCUCAGAAUCAACGCUGGCGGCGUGCCUAACACAUGCAAGUCGAACGCGAAAGUCCCGCAAGGGAUAAGUAGAGUGGCAAACGGGUGAGUAACACGUGGGUGACCUGCCUUCGAGCGGGGGAUAACGUCCCGAAAGGGACGCUAAUACCGCAUGACAUCCUGCCUUUGAAGAGGUGGAGAUCAAAGCCGGGGAUCGCAAGACCUGGCACUCGAAGAGGGGCCCGCGCCUGAUUAGCUAGUUGGUGGGGUAACGGCUCACCAAGGCGACGAUCAGUAGCCGGCCUGAGAGGGCGGACGGCCACACUGGGACUGAGACACGGCCCAGACUCCUACGGGAGGCAGCAGUGGGGAAUUGUUCGCAAUGGGCGCAAGCCUGACGACGCAACGCCGCGUGGAGGACGAAGACCUUCGGGUCGUAAACUCCUUUCGAUCGAGACGAACGGCCUUCGGGUGAACAAUCCGGAGGAGUGACGGUACCGAGAGAAGAAGCCCCGGCUAACUCCGUGCCAGCAGCCGCGGUAAUACGGGGGGGGCAAGCGUUGUUCGGAAUUACUGGGCGUAAAGGGCUCGUAGGUGGCCAACUAAGUCAGACGUGAAAUCCCUCGGCUUAACCGGGGAACUGCGUCUGAUACUGGAUGGCUUGAGUUUGGGAGAGGGAUGCGGAAUUCCAGGUGUAGCGGUGAAAUGCGUAGAUAUCUGGAGGAACACCGGUGGCGAAGGCGGCAUCCUGGACCAACACUGACACUGAGGAGCGAAAGCCAGGGGAGCAAACGGGAUUAGAUACCCCGGUAGUCCUGGCCCUAAACGAUGAAUGCUUGGUGUGGCGGGCAUCGAUCCCUGCCGUGCCGAAGCUAACGCAUUAAGCAUUC
This 880-nucleotide ribosomal RNA is filed under the name uncultured bacterium. RNAcentral's name for it is "bacterial SSU rRNA". It matches the Rfam family "Bacterial small subunit ribosomal RNA", at positions 11 to 869 of the family's 1533-position model. The record is from RNAcentral.